GCCCAGGUAGCUCAGUUGGUAGAGCAUCGCAUUGAAAAUGCGGGUGUCGGCGGUUCAAGUCCGUCCCUGGGCACCA
Molecule: transfer RNA, 76 nt
Filed under: Rhodospirillales bacterium
Lineage: Bacteria; Pseudomonadati; Pseudomonadota; Alphaproteobacteria; Rhodospirillales
Description: tRNA-Phe
Rfam family: tRNA
About the family: Transfer RNA (tRNA) molecules are approximately 80 nucleotides in length. Their secondary structure includes four short double-helical elements and three loops (D, anti-codon, and T loops). Further hydrogen bonds mediate the characteristic L-shaped molecular structure. tRNAs have two regions of fundamental functional importance: the anti-codon, which is responsible for specific mRNA codon recognition, and the 3' end, to which the tRNAs corresponding amino acid is attached (by aminoacyl-tRNA synthetases). tRNAs cope with the degeneracy of the genetic code in two manners: having more than one tRNA (with a specific anti-codon) for a particular amino acid; and 'wobble' base-pairing, i.e. permitting non-standard base-pairing at the 3rd anti-codon position.
Source: RNAcentral